AUGUUUAUUUAUAAAGUCUGGCCUGCCCACUGAAAUUUAAAGGGCCGCGGUAUUUUGACCGUGCAAAGGUAGCAUAAUCAUUAGUCUUUUAAUUGGAGGCUUGUAUGAAUGGUCGGACAAGAAACAGACUGUCUUCAAUUGAAUUUAUUGAAUUUAACUUUUAAGUAAAAAGGCUUAAAUAAAUUAAAAUGACGAUAAGACCCUAUAAAACUUGAUAAUUAAAACUAUAAAAAUAAUUUAGCUAUUUAAAAUUUAUUUAGUGGAUUUUAUUUUAUUGGGGCGAUAAAAAUAAAAUAAGUAACUGUUUUUAAUAUUUUAAUGAUAGUUGUCAUUUUAAAAGUGAUCCUGUAUUAUAGAUUAUAAGAUUAAGUUACUUUAGGGAUAACAGCGUAAUUUUCUUUAAGAGUUCUUAUCUACAAGAAAGAUUGCGACCUCGAUGUUGAAUUAAAAGUUCUUUAAGGUGUAGCAGCUUUAAUAGAAGUCUGUUCACCU
RNAcentral lists this ribosomal RNA (492 nucleotides) under Meganyctiphanes norvegica. RNAcentral's name for it is "LSU rRNA". It matches the Rfam family "Bacterial large subunit ribosomal RNA", at positions 1835 to 2586 of the family's 2925-position model. Lineage: Eukaryota; Metazoa; Arthropoda; Malacostraca; Euphausiacea; Euphausiidae. The record is from RNAcentral.